This 471-nucleotide ribosomal RNA is filed under the name Streptococcus mutans. Its description in RNAcentral is "bacterial SSU rRNA". It matches the Rfam family "Bacterial small subunit ribosomal RNA", at positions 28 to 473 of the family's 1533-position model. Lineage: Bacteria; Bacillati; Bacillota; Bacilli; Lactobacillales; Streptococcaceae. The record is from RNAcentral.
GACGAACGCUGGCGGCGUGCCUAAUACAUGCAAGUGGGACGCAAGGGAACACACUGUGCUUGCACACCGUGUUUUCUUGAGUCGCGAACGGGUGAGUAACGCGUAGGUAACCUGCCUAUUAGCGGGGGAUAACUAUUGGAAACGAUAGCUAAUACCGCAUAAUAUUAAUUAUUGCAUGAUAAUUGAUUGAAAGAUGCAAGCGCAUCACUAGUAGAUGGACCUGCGUUGUAUUAGCUAGUUGGUAAGGUAAGAGCUUACCAAGGCGACGAUACAUAGCCGACCUGAGAGGGUGAUCGGCCACACUGGGACUGAGACACGGCCCAGACUCCUACGGGAGGCAGCAGUAGGGAAUCUUCGGCAAUGGACGAAAGUCUGACCGAGCAACGCCGCGUGAGUGAAGAAGGUUUUCGGAUCGUAAAGCUCUGUUGUAAGUCAAGAACGUGUGUGAGAGUGGAAAGUUCACACAGGGAC